UAAGAAUAGCUACACAGACAAUGC
Molecule: non-coding RNA, 24 nt
Filed under: Arabidopsis thaliana (thale cress)
Lineage: Eukaryota; Viridiplantae; Streptophyta; Magnoliopsida; Brassicales; Brassicaceae
Source: RNAcentral